RNAcentral lists this ribosomal RNA (288 nucleotides) under uncultured bacterium. RNAcentral's name for it is "partial 16S ribosomal RNA". It matches the Rfam family "Bacterial small subunit ribosomal RNA", at positions 335 to 620 of the family's 1533-position model. The record is from RNAcentral.
UCACCUACGGGAGGCAGCAGUGAGGAAUAUUGGUCAAUGGUCGGGAGACUGAACCAGCCAAGCCGCGUGAGGGAGGAAGGUACAGAGUAUCGUAAACCUCUUUUGUCAGGGAACAAAGGCGGGGACGUGUCCCCGGAUGAGUGUACCUGAAGAAAAAGCAUCGGCUAACUCCGUGCCAGCAGCCGCGGUAAUACGGAGGGUGCAAGCGUUGUCUGGAAUCAUUGGGCGUAAAGAGUUCGUAGGCGGUAUGUUUAGUCUGGUGUUAAAUGCAGAAGCUCAACUUCUGUU